Molecule: small nucleolar RNA, 104 nt
Filed under: Vicugna pacos (alpaca)
Lineage: Eukaryota; Metazoa; Chordata; Mammalia; Artiodactyla; Camelidae
Description: Small nucleolar RNA U13 (ENSVPAG00000016500.1)
Rfam family: Small nucleolar RNA U13
Source: Rfam by way of RNAcentral
AUCCUUUUGUAGUUCAUGAGUGUGAUGAUUGGGUGUUCGCAUGCCUGUGUGACAUGUGCCUCCCUUGAACCUUGUUACGACAUCGGCACAUUACCCGUCUGACA